GGGUUCUACCGUCGGUCGGGCUACCAAGUUUGUACUGGUGUGUAGAAUUUCUACCUUCUGGGGAGCCAUCAUGUUAUUAAUUUAGCGUGGUGGGAAACCAGGACCUUUACCUUGAAAAAAUUAGAGUGUUCAAAGCAGGCUUAUGUCUGAAUACAUUAGCAUGGAAUAAUAAAAUAGGACGGUUUGGUUCUAUUUUGUUGGUUUCUGAAUCACCGUAAUGAUUAAUAGGGAUAGUUG
Molecule: ribosomal RNA, 237 nt
Filed under: uncultured Scutellospora
Lineage: Eukaryota; Fungi; Glomeromycota; Glomeromycetes; Diversisporales; Gigasporaceae
Description: partial 18S ribosomal RNA
Rfam family: Eukaryotic small subunit ribosomal RNA (bases 46-237)
Source: RNAcentral